GGCCCAGAUCGUUUACCGUGAAGAAAUUAGAGUGUUCAAAGCGGGCGCGAAAGCAAUUUCUCGCCCGUUGAAUUGAACGUCAGCAUGGGAUAAUGGAAUAGGACCCCGCUCUCCUAUUUUCCGUUGGUUUCCGGGAGCGGGGUAAUGAUUGAUAGGGAUAGUUGGGGGCAUCGAUAUUUAAUUGUCAGAGGUGAAAUUCUUGGAUUUAUGAAAGAUCGACUUCCGCGAAAGCAUUUGCCAAGGAUGUUUUCAUUAAUCAAGAACGAAAGUUAGGGGAUCGAAGACGAUCAGAUACCGUCGUAGUCUUAACCAUAAACCGUGCCGACCAGCGAUCGGGAGACGUCGCAUGGAUGACUCCCCUAGCAGCUUGUGAGA
Molecule: ribosomal RNA, 375 nt
Filed under: Protacanthamoeba bohemica
Lineage: Eukaryota; Discosea; Longamoebia; Acanthamoebidae
Description: SSU rRNA
Rfam family: Eukaryotic small subunit ribosomal RNA
Source: RNAcentral